Molecule: ribosomal RNA, 253 nt
Filed under: uncultured bacterium
Lineage: Bacteria
Description: partial 16S ribosomal RNA
Rfam family: Bacterial small subunit ribosomal RNA
Source: RNAcentral
UACAGGGGGGGCAAGCGUUGUUCGGAAUUACUGGGCGUAAAGGGUUCGUAGGUGGCCACUUAAGUCAGACGUGAAAUCCCUCAGCUUAACUGGGGAACUGCGUCUGAUACUGAGUGGCUUGAGUGCAGGAGAGGGAUGCGGAAUUCCAGGUGUAGCGGUGAAAUGCGCAGAUAUCAGGAAGAACACCCGUGGCGAAGGCGGUUCUCUGGGACGGUACUGACGCUGAGACGCGAAAGCGUGGGGAGCGAACAGG